RNAcentral lists this long non-coding RNA (947 nucleotides) under Homo sapiens (human). RNAcentral describes it as "novel transcript". The record is from RNAcentral. Lineage: Eukaryota; Metazoa; Chordata; Mammalia; Primates; Hominidae.
GACAGAGAUGACAGAUAUUCAAAGAUGGAAUGAAAGAGGUUUGGUGACUGGAUAUAAGCAACGAAACAGGAAGAAUUGAAUUUGGGUCUGAUAUUUCCUGGAUGCAAGAUCAGGAGGAUGUUGGCACCAUGGCUUAGUGGGGAAACUGGGGACCGAUUCUGGAGGUAUACCAGCAUGGGGGGUUGCCCAGUGGAAACACCAGACUGCAAAGCUUUGAGAAGUCUGUAUGAGAUGAACAACUGGAAAAGGUUCUUCGUGAAGAAUUUGUGUGGUGAAGAGCUGGAAUAGCGGCUUGAGGGAGAGAAGCCAGCACUAUUCACAAUAGCCAAGAUUUGGAAGUAACCCAAAUGUCCAUCAACAGACAAAUGGAUAAAGAAAAUGUGGUGCAUAUACACAAUGGAGUAGUAUUCAGCCAUAAAAAAGAAUGAGAUCUUGUCAUCUGCAACAACAUGGAUGGAACUGGAGGUCCUUAAGGUUAAGCAAAAUAAUCCAGGCACAGAAAGAAAACAUUGCAUGUUCUCAUCUAUUUGUGAGAACUAAAAAUUAAAACAAUUGAACUCAUGGAGAUAGAGAGUAGAAGGAUGGUUACCAGAGGCUGGGAAGGGUAGUGAGGGCGAGUGAGGGGGAAGUGGGGUGUUUAAUGUGUCCAAAAAAUGGUCAGAAACAAUGAAUAAAGUCUAAUAUAUGACAGCAAAAGAGUGUGACUAUAGUCAAUAAUAAUCGAAUGGUACAUUUAAAAAUAACUAAAAGUGUAUAUUUGGAUUGUUUGUAACAUAAAGGAUAAAUGCUUGAGGUGAUGGAUACCCCAUUUACCCUGAUGUGAUUGUUACACAUUGUAUGCCUGUAUCAAAGUAUCCAUAUACCCCAUGAAUAAAUGUAUAUACCUACUAUGCACCUACAAAAAUUAAAAUAAUAAAAAAAAGGAUUCCCCAUAUUUGCUACACUCA